UACGUAGGGUGCAAGCGUUGUCCGGAAUUAUUGGGUGUAAAGAGCUCGUAGGCGGUUUGUCGCGUCGAAUGUGAAAACCCGGGGCUCAACCCCGGGCCUGCAUUCGAUACGGGCAGACUAGAGUUCGGUAGGGGAGUCUGGAAUUCCUGGUGUAGCGGUGAAAUGCGCAGAUAUCAGGAGGAACACCGGUGGCGAAGGCGGGACUCUGGGCCGAUACUGACGCUGAGGAGCGAAAGCGUGGGGAGCGAACAGG
Molecule: ribosomal RNA, 253 nt
Filed under: uncultured bacterium
Lineage: Bacteria
Description: partial 16S ribosomal RNA
Rfam family: Bacterial small subunit ribosomal RNA
Source: RNAcentral